AGGUUGGGAAGGGGGUGGUUUUGAAGGAGAAGAAGAAUCCGAUUGGACCAAUGACCCACCUGCCAUUCAUGUCCUUCAUCUCAGGUGUUCAGGUGCAUCCGCUGGCAGAAGCCGCCGCUGUGGCCAUGGAUUCUUAAGCUAACUCGAGAGUUAAUAAGACGAGGCAUUUGGAUUUGAUUGAUUGCCACUCUUCUUUUCGUUUCUUUCUUCUGCACGCUCCCAUUAAAGCAUCCUUCUUUGAUUCAUUUAUGAUUUACCUCGCUGUUUCUGAUCUGACCCAUUAGAGUUCUGUGUUCUUAGAGCUGCAUCAACACCUAGCUUCUG
This 324-nucleotide unclassified non-coding RNA is filed under the name Hevea brasiliensis (rubber tree). The record is from RNAcentral. Lineage: Eukaryota; Viridiplantae; Streptophyta; Magnoliopsida; Malpighiales; Euphorbiaceae.